Molecule: long non-coding RNA, 592 nt
Filed under: Mytilus galloprovincialis (Mediterranean mussel)
Lineage: Eukaryota; Metazoa; Mollusca; Bivalvia; Mytilida; Mytilidae
Source: RNAcentral
AAUUAAAAAAAAUUUGAUAUUUCACAAUAUUGUGCAAUUAGAUAUUUCUUGCCAUUGCGCAAUACUGUGCAAUUGAAAAGACUUGCUAUUGCACAAUACUUAAUAUAAUAAUUUUAGAUCCUGAUUUGGACCAACUUGAAAACUGGGCCCAUAAUAAAAAAUCUAAGUACAUUUUUGGAUUCAGCAUAUCAAAGAACUUCAAGAUUUCAAUUUUUGUUAAAAUCAGACUAAGUUUAAUUUUGGACCCUUUGGACUUGAGUGUAGACCAAUUUGAAAACAGGACCAAAAAUGAAGAAUCUACAUACACAGUUAGAUUUGGUAUAUCAAAGAACCCCAUUUAUUUUCAAUUUUUGAUGAAAAUCAAACAAAGUUUAAUUUUGGACCCGCGAUUUGGACCAACUUGAAAACUGGGCCAAUAAUCAAGAAUCUAAGUACAUUUUUAGAUUCAGCAUAUCAAAGAACCUAACUGAUUCAUUUUUUGUCAAAAUCAAACUAAGUUUAAUUUUGGACCCUUUGGACCUUAAUGUAGACCAAUUUGAAAACGGGACCAAAAGUUAAGAAUCUACAUACAUGACAGUUAGAUUCAGCAUAU